GACGAACGCUGGCGGCGUGCUUAACACAUGCAAGUCGAACGGAAAGGCCCUGCUUUUGUGGGGUGCUCGAGUGGCGAACGGGUGAGUAACCCGUGCGUAACCUGCCCUUGACUUUGGGUUAACUUCAGGAAACUGGGGCUAAUACCGGAUAGGAGCUCCUGAUGCAUGGUGGGGGUUGGAACGUUUCGGCGGUUGGGGCUGGAGUCGCGGCUUAUCAGCUUGUUGGUGGGGUAGUGGCGUACCAAGGCGUGGACGGGUAGCCGGCCUGAGAGGGUGACCGGCCACAGUGGGACUGGGGUACGGGCCGGAGUGCAUCGUGAGGCAGCAGCGGAGAAUAGAGCACAAUGGGCGGAGGCCAGAUGGAGGAACGCCGCGUGGGAGAUGACGGUCGUCGGGUUGGAAACCGCUUUCGUCAGUGACGAAGCGUGAGGGACGGUAAGUAGUAAAGAAGCACCGCCUAACUACGU
RNAcentral lists this ribosomal RNA (467 nucleotides) under uncultured bacterium. Its description in RNAcentral is "partial 16S ribosomal RNA". It matches the Rfam family "Bacterial small subunit ribosomal RNA", at positions 28 to 506 of the family's 1533-position model. The record is from RNAcentral.